This 305-nucleotide ribosomal RNA is filed under the name uncultured bacterium. Its description in RNAcentral is "bacterial SSU rRNA". It matches the Rfam family "Bacterial small subunit ribosomal RNA", at positions 335 to 657 of the family's 1533-position model. The record is from RNAcentral.
GGUCCUACGGGGGGCAGCAGUGGGGAAUAUUGCACAAUGGGGGAAACCCUGAUGCAGCGACGCCGCGUGAGUGAAGAAGUAUUUCGGUAUGUAAAGCUCUAUCAGCAAGGAAGAUAAUGACGGUACCUGAGUAAGAAGCCCCGGCUAACUACGUGCCAGCAGCCGCGGUAAUACGUAGGGGGCAAGCGUUAUCCGGAUUUACUGGGUGUAAAGGGAGCGUAGGUGGCAAGGCAAGUCAGAUGUGAAAACCCGGGGCCCAACCCCGGGAGUGCAUUUGAAACUGUCUGGCUAGAGUGCAGGAGAGG